CUUGGAGGAAUGUAUAGCAACUGCUAGUUGCACUAAAAAUUUUAGUGUAAAAUCAACUUUGUUGAAUAAAAUUCUGGAUAGAAUUAUGAUAAUGACAUUAUCUAUCCAUAAGUCUUGACCAAAUUACGUGCCAGCAGUCGCGGUAAUACGUAGAAGACAAGUGUUAUUCAUCUUUAAUAGGUUUAAAGGGUACUUAGACGGUAAAUCAAGCCUUAAAAAGGGACUAAUUUGCUAGAGUUUUAUGUGAAAAAGUAUUAAAGUACUGCUGGUGUAGAGAUGAAAUUCUGUAAUACCUUAAAUGGCACAGGUUAAGGCGAAAGCAUCUUUUUAUGUAAAAACUGACGUUGAAGGACGAAGGCUUUGUGUCUCGAACAGGAUUAGAUACCCUAGUAGUCUAAGCAGACAAUGAUGAAUGUCAUAGAUUAGAUAUCUUUUGAUCUAUAAAUGAAAGUGUAAGCAUUCCACCUCAAGAGUAAUUUGGCAACAUUGGAACUGAAAUCAUUAGACCGUUUCUGAAACCAGUAGUGAAGUAUGUUGUUUAAUUUGAUAAUCCGCAAAAAACCUUACCACAAUUUGAAUAGAUAUAUUAUAUCAUACAAGCGUUGCACGGCUGUCUUCAGUUAAUGUCGUGAGACUUUGGUUAGUUCCAUAAAAUUAACGUAAACCCUUACUUUAUUUUUAAAUAAAGUAGCUCACCGCUAUAUUGGAUGUGAUAACGGGGAUCAAGACAAGUCAUCAUGACC
Molecule: ribosomal RNA, 743 nt
Filed under: Olegblumia demissa
Lineage: Eukaryota; Fungi; Ascomycota; Lecanoromycetes; Teloschistales; Teloschistaceae
Description: SSU rRNA
Rfam family: Bacterial small subunit ribosomal RNA
Source: RNAcentral